UACGUAGGGAGCGAGCGUUGUCCGAAGUUACUGGGCGUAAAGCGCGCGUAGGCGGUUGCUUAAGUUAGAUGUGAAAUCCUGGAGCCCAACUCCAGAACUGCAUCUAAAACUGGGCGACUUGAGGACGGAAGAGGGCAGUGGAAUUCCUGGUGUAGCGGUGAAAUGCGUAGAUAUCAGGAGGAACACCCGUGGCGAAGGCGGCUGCCUGGUCCGUAACUGACGCUGAGGUGCGAAAGCCAGGGGAGCGAAC
This 250-nucleotide ribosomal RNA is filed under the name uncultured bacterium. RNAcentral's name for it is "partial 16S ribosomal RNA". It matches the Rfam family "Bacterial small subunit ribosomal RNA", at positions 524 to 773 of the family's 1533-position model. The record is from RNAcentral.